UCAUACAUAUUUAGAUUUUAUGUCAAAGUCUUUCUUUCAUUCUUAACUGCGUGUAUGAGAGUAAAUCCUUGUGAACUAAGAAUAGACAUACGGGUGUAUGAUUUUGUACUAUGCAAUUGUGAUUUUGUACUAUGCAUUUGCUUUUCUAACAAUUGAUGCAACAAUGACGGGGGAGUUGAUCCAUCUGUUGGUAUAUCAGAAAUUAGGAAAGCCUAUAGAAAAGCUGCGCUCAAGCAUCACCCUGAUAAGGCUGGGCAAUCACUGGCUACAAAUGACAAUGCGGAUGAUGGACUGUGGAAAGAAAUAGCAGAAGAAGUCCAUAAAGAUGCUGACAGGCUCUGUAAAGUGAUAGGAGAGGCCUAUGCAGUGCUUUCAGACUCUGCAGAGUGCUCACGUUAUGACCUUGAAGAAGAGAUGAGAAAUAGUCAAAGCAGAGGCAAUGAGAGCAGCACAUUUAGAACGCACACGGAGUUUAAUACUUCUCACUUUGAGAGAAGUGGAAGUACAGGCCACUGGGAAGAUGUUUGGAGAGCAUAUAAGAGUACCCAGUCCAGAGAAUCAGACAGAAAUAGAGCAAACUGGUAGUUGUGAUGAACUUGCGGUACUUUGAGCUUCAUACAAUUUGAUGCACCUUGUGUUCAGCAUUCUGCUUGCGUGUAUAGUCUGUAGUCACUGCCUUACAUGGAAGAAAUGACUUGCAGAACUUAAAAGAACAGUCAUGAAAUUUGUGGAUGAAGUAUUCAACAUACUGACACCUUGACCUUGGCCUUCCAUAUUUUGCACUUCCUGACUAGUCAUUCGAGCAGGUGCACGAAAAAAAACUGUUGCAUAAACCUUGUUUGAGGAUUCUCAACAGUGGGUUUUUGAAGCUUGGAGAGAGAUUAGCAUCAAGCCGAACUCAUGAAUACAGAUAUGUUUAGGCAACAAACAAGGAAGGCCUUCAUGAUUGCUGUUGUAUAGUUAUCGAACGUGUAUUAGUACAGAAGCUGUUCAUGGCCCUGGAAACCUUGCUAGUUUUGGUGCUAGCAGAGACCAACUCAAUAGUUUGAGGAGGAUGCUGUGGAUGACUAAUUUUGCUGAGUCAAAUAUCUAUCAUUUGCUAUUCUAAUGUAGUUCUAUACCUGUAAUAUCGUUUGUGUACAGAAGUGUGUGUGUGUGUGUAUUUGAAAAGUCCUAAAAAUGAUAAAGAGUGAGGUUACUUUUCUUUUUUGAUCUUUCUUCUUUUUCAUUAUCUUGAUUGUGGGUGGGGUUUUCUGUUAUUGUAAUACACUAAAGUCAAUUAUUUUUUGAUCAAUGUGA
Lycium ferocissimum is the source of this 1299-nucleotide long non-coding RNA. RefSeq lists it as uncharacterized. The record is from RefSeq and is a predicted model, not a curated record. The transcript has 3 exons. NCBI's taxonomy places the organism in Eukaryota, Viridiplantae, Streptophyta, Magnoliopsida, Solanales, Solanaceae.